UUUCCGUAGGUGAACCUGCGGAAGGAUCAUUAUUGAAUAAACAGUGUGGGUUGUUGCUGGCCUUCUGGCAUGUGCCCGCCUGCCAUAUGUUUCAUUCCCUUCUUUCCACCUGUGCACUAUGUGUAGGCUAUGUAUGCUGUAUUGUCAGGCCCUUCAUAAGGCUUGGUUUAGAGAGGAUGCUUGUCUUUAUGAGACAGGCUCAUCUUGGGCGUACAGGUCUAUGUUUUACACCAACACCAAAUGAAUGUCUUAGAAUGUAUUUUUUCAGGCUCUUGCUAGCCUUUAAACCAUAUACAACUUUCAACAACGGAUCUCUUGGCUCUC
RNAcentral lists this unclassified non-coding RNA (324 nucleotides) under plant metagenome. Its description in RNAcentral is "partial contains small subunit ribosomal RNA, internal transcribed spacer 1, and 5.8S ribosomal RNA". The record is from RNAcentral.